UUAAAUUGAAGAGUUUGAUCAUGGCUCAGAUUGAACGCUGGCGGCAGGCCUAACACAUGCAAGUCGAACGGUAACAGGAAACAGCUUGCUGUUUCGCUGACGAGUGGCGGACGGGUGAGUAAUGUCUGGGAAACUGCCUGAUGGAGGGGGAUAACUACUGGAAACGGUAGCUAAUACCGCAUAACGUCGCAAGACCAAAGAGGGGGACCUUAGGGCCUCUUGCCAUCGGAUGUGCCCAGAUGGGAUUAGCUAGUAGGUGGGGUAAAGGCUCACCUAGGCGACGAUCCCUAGCU
RNAcentral lists this ribosomal RNA (293 nucleotides) under Escherichia coli. Its description in RNAcentral is "partial 16S ribosomal RNA". It matches the Rfam family "Bacterial small subunit ribosomal RNA", at positions 1 to 288 of the family's 1533-position model. The record is from RNAcentral. Lineage: Bacteria; Pseudomonadati; Pseudomonadota; Gammaproteobacteria; Enterobacterales; Enterobacteriaceae.